This 106-nucleotide small RNA is filed under the name Chryseobacterium sp. Leaf180. RNAcentral describes it as "Flavo-1 RNA". It matches the Rfam family "Flavo-1 RNA". The record is from Rfam by way of RNAcentral. Lineage: Bacteria; Pseudomonadati; Bacteroidota; Flavobacteriia; Flavobacteriales; Weeksellaceae.
UAAUAGCCCCGAUAGAAACGACAUCCGUUUUUGCUUUUUCUUCAAUUUUCUUUUACUGAGAAAAUAUAAUGAAGGAAAAAAGAUGCAGUGGAUAGCGGGAAUUGCU